GCGGCGUGCUUAACACAUGCAAGUCGAACGAACCUUCGGGUUAGUGGCGGACGGGUGAGUAACGCGUGAGAAUCUGCCCUCAGGAGGGGGAUAACGGUUGGAAACGACCGCUAAUACCCCAUAUGCCGCGAGGUGAAAUGAAUUUCGCCUGAGGAUGAGCUCGCGUCUGAUUAGCUAGUUGGUGGGGUAAAGGCUUACCAAGGCAUCGAUCAGUAGCUGGUCUGAGAGGAUGAUCAGCCACACUGGGACUGAGACACGGCCCAGACUCCUACGGGAGGCAGCAGUGGGGAAUUUUCCGCAAUGGGCGAAAGCCUGACGGAGCAACGCCGCGUGAGGGAUGAAGGCCUCUGGGCUGUAAACCUCUUUUAUCAAGGAAGAAGAUCUGACGGUACUUGAUGAAUAAGCCACGGCUAAU
This 415-nucleotide ribosomal RNA is filed under the name uncultured Synechococcus sp. RNAcentral describes it as "bacterial SSU rRNA". It matches the Rfam family "Bacterial small subunit ribosomal RNA", at positions 39 to 501 of the family's 1533-position model. The record is from RNAcentral. Lineage: Bacteria; Bacillati; Cyanobacteriota; Cyanophyceae; Synechococcales; Synechococcaceae.